AGGCGGCGGGUGGGGCGGUAUCCGCACUGGCUGCUCAGGCUCGCGCUGGGCGAGGUUCUGCCUCUUCCUGCCCACCCUGUAGGAAGAACCCCGCAGGAAGGAAGGUGAAGGCGAUGACCGCUGUGCCUCUUCCGUAGGGAGCUCAGGUGAGCUCAUAUUUCAAUCUCAACCCUCUCCCUUACUCUUUACUCCUAUACUGUAUGUGGGCUU
Molecule: long non-coding RNA, 210 nt
Filed under: Rhinolophus ferrumequinum (greater horseshoe bat)
Lineage: Eukaryota; Metazoa; Chordata; Mammalia; Chiroptera; Rhinolophidae
Description: lncRNA (ENSRFEG00010020686.1)
Source: RNAcentral